UGGAAGAUGAACUAGGAGGGGCCAGAUUGGGGUAUGAAUCUCUAAUUUAGAAGAUGCUGUAUUUUUGACAAAAAAUCAUGCUGGUCUGUGCUAUCUCUUUGCAGUGUGUGUGUGUGUGUGUGUGUGUGUGUGUGUAAGGAGAGAGAAGGGGUCAAAGGACAAUCCAC
Molecule: small RNA, 167 nt
Filed under: Marmota monax (woodchuck)
Lineage: Eukaryota; Metazoa; Chordata; Mammalia; Rodentia; Sciuridae
Source: RNAcentral